CUAGCUGUAAACGAUGGAUACUAGGAGUUGAGAGUAUCGACCCUCUCAGUGUCGUAGCUAACGCGUUAAGUAUCCCGCCUGGGGAGUACGCGCGCAAGCGUGAAACUCAAAGGAAUUGACGGGGGCCCGCACAAGCGGUGGAGUAUGUGGUUUAAUUCGAUGCAACGCGAAGAACCUUACCAGGGCUUGACAUGUCCGGAACCCUGCCCAAAGGCGGGGGUGCCUACGGGAACCGGAACACAGGUGGUGC
This 250-nucleotide ribosomal RNA is filed under the name uncultured Chroococcidiopsis sp. RNAcentral's name for it is "partial 16S ribosomal RNA". It matches the Rfam family "Bacterial small subunit ribosomal RNA", at positions 796 to 1044 of the family's 1533-position model. Lineage: Bacteria; Bacillati; Cyanobacteriota; Cyanophyceae; Chroococcidiopsidales; Chroococcidiopsidaceae. The record is from RNAcentral.